Long non-coding RNA from Plutella xylostella (diamondback moth), 3407 nucleotides. RefSeq lists it as uncharacterized. The record is from RefSeq and is a predicted model, not a curated record. Lineage: Eukaryota; Metazoa; Arthropoda; Insecta; Lepidoptera; Plutellidae.
AUCAUACUUAUGAUUUGAUAACAGGAAAAAUAACUAUGUCAGAAGAGUAUGUGCCUAUAUACUUAUGUGUGGCCCAUUUCAUGAAAAUGAUGUCACAAGAUGUGAAAAAACAUGUUUCUGACUCAGGCCACAUUAACUAUAUUUUGGAUAUGUUGGGAGGUUUGAUGCAAGUCCGAAACUUAGAAGAAAUUGAUUUAUAUGUAAGAUGGUUGUACAUAUUUUUUAAUUCUAAAUAUGAAUCUUCUUGUGUCAAGGAAGCCGAAACAUCAUUGUGUAAUUUUAAAGAUACCAUUGAUGUAGUUUCAGAAAAUACAAAUGAUAACAUAGAAUUUGAAGAUAAAAAUGACCCUCUUUUCAGAAAUAACAAUUUUUUCUUUAGAUAUAACGAUCUUAUUAGUAAAAUUGACAUAGACUCUGAAGUGCCCAAUACUGAGUUGAAUGUUUAUUACAAUCCAACUCUUUUCGACAUAAUUCUCAAGAAGUAUCUGACAGUAACACCACUGUGGUCAAACAUUUUAAAAAAAGAAAGAGUUUCAAAUGCAUCUGUCGAAAAUUUCUUUGGUACAAUGAAAGCAUUAGUUUUAAAUAAAAGGUCAUAUCUGAAAUGCACGCAAUUUAUAAGAUUAGAAAGAGAAUAUAUUUUAGCUAAAUUCAAAGAAUUUACACAUAAUAUACCAAAAAAGAGACUUACAAAAGCUAAGGAAGAUGAAGAAACCUGGGAGAGGAAAAGGCUAAGAAAAUCGAUUACUCAUUUUGAUGGGAAACAUUUAAGACCAAAAAAAAACAAAUUUGCUCUUAAAACACGACAAAGCAUUGAAUAUUGCAAACAUAGAUCAUGAACCAGGAUUGUGUAAAAUAAAAAGAGAAAAAGGUACAGAUAUGAACAUAGAUCAUGAACCAGUUCAUCCAGUAUUGUCUGAGAUAAAAAUAGAAAAGGAUACAGAUUUUAAACCACCUCAACAAAAAAAUAUUGAUUACUUACAACAUAGAAAAAAAAAAAGUGAAUGAAGUAAAAAUUACUGAUACAGAUAUUAAAUCACCUCAACAAAAUGUAAUUAAUAACUUACAACUUCACAACAAUGGCUUAGUGAGGGAUCCAUCAUAUUACAUAACUGGUUUAGAGAGAAAAUACUAUGUAUCUGUUUUUGAUAAAUCGCCUGAUUUAGUCAAAGAAUUAGAUAAGGAAGACUUUGAGACGCUUAGUGGAACAAAAUGGUUAUCGAAUAUUGCUGUUGAUCACUGUCUAGCUGUAUUAAACCAAAAUAAUACAGACAAAUAUCAUAUUCUUUCUGUCAACUUCAGUUCGAACUUAUUCUCAAAUAAAAUAGAUUUGACUGACGAACAUAUACAGGAACUGAACACAAGAAAUAUGGAACAAUCUCUAAUCUUUCCAAUAUUGUUACAAAAUCAUUUUACACUUGUUCAUCUUUCAAAUGGUGGAAAGAAAAUGACUUGUAUUGAUCCUAAGGGUAAUGAAGUUAAAUAUGUCAAUAAGUACUGUAACGUGAUAAAAAAAUAUUUUAAACAUGCCAUAAAUUUGAAGGUGUUGAAACCCAAACAUAUCAUACAAUCUGAUGAUCACAAUUGUGGUGUUUACGUGAUAAUGUUUAUUGAAAAAAUAAUAACCAAAGGUAAUUUAAAUGAUAAAUUUUUCACUCCCCAAGGUUAUAGGUCUUACCUACAGCAUUGUAUACUUGGUCACAGUGACUGCAUUAAAGAUAUAUGUUAUAUUUGUGGACGUUCUGUAUUAAGCCUCAAUAAUAAUAAAACAACAUGGAAGUGCACUUUAUGUCAAAGAACAUUACACAAUGAUUGUAUCUCACCAGAUAGAUUUUGUAUGUUGUGUGCUCAUUAUAAACAAAACCACCUUAUUCAUGAUUAAUGCUUCACGAUUAUUACAAUGUAAUAUCAAUAUUAUACAAUAAUCAAAUAUUAUUUUAAUGCAAUAAAAUGAACAUACCUACAUGUAACAGGAUAAAUUAAUGCAUGAAUUAACUUACAAUAAGUAGUGCCCUGUUUAUACCAAUUAUUAUAAUCAUUGAGUAACAUACUGAUUACUGAAGGCACCGAUUUCACCACAUAAUUAAUGCAUGACGAUUAUUAUAAUGUAUACAAUCAAUUAUAAUUAUACUCUAAUAUAUUUUUAAUGCAAUAAAAUGAACAUACCUAUAUCCCAUUCCACGGGGUAAUACAUUUGACAGAACCCUUAUUACAUCCCAAUAAGGGUAGUUUUUGAUUAUAUCAGAUGUCUUUACUCCUGGAAUUGGAUAUACACGUAACAGGAUAAAUUAAUGCAUGACAUCAUUAUCAUCAAAGAGAUACCAACUGUUUACUGAAGGCACAAUUUUAAAUUUUUCACUACAUAAAGUGGUGUAAUAAUAAUAUGUAUGUUCAUCCAAAUUAUGAUUAAUGCCUUCAUAAUAGCUACUAAUGCAUGACUUAGUUAGAUGUAGUUAGAUGAAGGGGAAACAAAGAGUUUUUCUUUUUAAUCAAAAAUAUUAUUGAGAUUAAGAAAAACUCUUUCAUGAUGUAUUAUAAAAUAUAUGAAAAUUAUGUGUCUUUAAAUGUAACAAAACAAAUAUUUUCAUCACAUGAUUUACCUUAAUUUAUAAUACUGAAAUUCCUAGCCACACCUCCCAGUGGUCCCCUUCGGUAACUAAGGUGCAUUAAGGGAAACAUGCAGAUAAUAACUCUUCAUCAUUAGUGCACCUUAGGCGAACGUGGCAGGAAUGUAAACCUAAAUAAAUGUAGUCUUUUCUAUAGUUAUUAACGUUUAUCUAUGUAUACAAUGUUUCAGAGUGAAGACUCUCACAUCAUCACUAUCACCAGCUCCGCCAUCAUAUUAUGUGGAGAACGAACAAUCAUGAUGAAGCUGACGCCACAACAUUCCAGAACCACCAUAUACCGUAGUACAUAUACCGCGGCAACGGGAGCAUGAAGAAGGACCUGCAGAACAUCAUCUGGCUGUUCCAAGGGACCGAUCCGUAUAAUAUCCUGAUGUACGUGGCUCGAGACCUAUACAAGCUGCCGCCUGUUACACUUGACCACAUCAAUUUGACCCGGCUCGCACCUCAAGCAUUUUUUAUAUGAACUAAUUUUAAUUUGAACGAUAUAGAUGGAUUGUCAGUGAUGGUUGUUCAGUCUUAGGGCCUGUUUCACAAUGUCUGGGUAGUGGCUACCUGUCGGGUAAAAUACAUGUUGUCACUGUCAAAAAAAUAAUAACAGAGUGACAGCAUGUAUUUUACCCGACAGGUAGCCACUACCCAGACAUUGUGAAACAGGCCCUUAACAUCGUAAUUCUACCACUAGGCUCUUAUUUUUAAUUUAUUGAAGUCUGUAAACCUAUGAUAUAAAAUACAUAAUUUUGUCUGUGAUUAAAUUGUUUAUAAAUAAAAAAUAUAUUUUAA